RNAcentral lists this ribosomal RNA (472 nucleotides) under uncultured bacterium. Its description in RNAcentral is "bacterial SSU rRNA". It matches the Rfam family "Bacterial small subunit ribosomal RNA", at positions 355 to 825 of the family's 1533-position model. The record is from RNAcentral.
UGGGGAAUUAUGCGCAAUGGACGAAAGUCUGACGCUGCGACGUCGCGUGGGUGAUGAAGGUCUUCGGAUCGUAAAACCCUGUCGAGAGGGAAGAAAGGGCGGGCGCUAAUAUCGCCUACUUCUGACGGUACCUCUGGAGGAAGCCCCGGCUAACUCUGUGCCAGCAGCCGCGGUAAUACAGAGGGGGCAAGCGUUGUUCGGAAUUACUGGGCGUAAAGCGCGCGUAGGCGGUCGUAUAAGUCGGAUGUGAAAGCCUGGAGCUCAACUCCAGAACUGCCUUUGAAACUAGGUCGCUAGAAUCACGGAGAGGUGAGUGGAAUUCCGAGUGUAGAGGUGAAAUUCGUAGAUAUUCGGAAGAACACCAGUGGCGAAGGCGGCUCACUGGACGUGUAUUGACGCUGAGGUACGAAAGCGUGGGGAGCAAACAGGAUUAGAUACCCAAGUAGUCCCUGAGCGGGCUGGCAAGGCGCAU